GAUGGGUGCGAUCAUACCAGCACUAA
RNAcentral lists this ribosomal RNA (26 nucleotides) under Rhus chinensis var. roxburghii. Lineage: Eukaryota; Viridiplantae; Streptophyta; Magnoliopsida; Sapindales; Anacardiaceae. The record is from RNAcentral.